UAAAAACCUGUUAAUUAGCAGAUAAAUCAACCUUUCACAGAGUAUGUAAUAGAUACAACUAUUUCAUAAAAGAUGGAUGAAGAGACACAUGCCCUGCUGUGAAGUAGUUAUUAGUUUCCUAAUACAGUAGAUGAAUUCUCUCUGUGAGUAUUGAAGAAAUGCAAUUAAAUACUCAGAAUAACAUUUGAUUAGAUUGGUAAGUGUGAGUAAUUAUUGACAAAGAUUUUUGUAUUUUAAAAGAAAAAUCUUUUAUACUCUUUCUAAACUCACAAGUCAGUAGUUGUCAUAAUGCCAAUUUGGAGAGAGCUUCAUGUUUUUUGUGACUGCUAAAGGUGAAUGGAAACAUUGAGUCUACCCUAUUAAAUGCAGAUGCUAUCCCAAACAGGUAUUUGUAGUUGCAAUUUCAGGAAACGUGUAUGUUUAAAUUAUUUUUUCUUAUUUCUUUUAUAGGUCUGCAGAAUUGCUGCCUAGUGGCUGCCAACUUAGUGCUUCUGCCAACCAUCUGAACGUGUAUGAAACUGUUGGCGUUAAUAAUAGUCAUGAUCAGGGCUUGAAAAAUCCACGCGCCCACUUUUGUUGCCAUGGAAACUGCUGAAAACUGGCCCAUUGUAUCAACGUGGAACAUCUGUAGUAUAAGGAAACCUUCAGUACUUUCAGAUGCAAAUCUCCCAUUGAGGCCACUAUCCAAGUGAUGUUUCCACUUACUAACUAAAUUCAGUAAAGCCUCCUCGCAAGACCCUGCCUUUUAAAAAAAAUGUGUUGUAUCAAUUUUUAAUAUAUUAAUGGAACAUAUAAAACAAACUAAUAAACUCAAUACUAAAACCUUAUGUACAUGUAUACCAAGUGUUUGUAAUGCUCCAAAACAAAUUAAUAAUAGUUUAAAAUCUUCAAGCAGAUGAUUCAAUGUUACUUUAAAUGUAUAAGAAGCAAUAGAUUGGAAAGUCCACAACUAUUGAGUUAAUAAUGUUUUCUUCUCUCUUGUCCAAAUGCGUGCGCAGGGAAGACCAAAGGAUUUGACGCUGUUCUCUGAAACUAUUCCUUUGAGUUACUUAAGACGUUCCAGUGUAUUUUACAUACCUGGCUGUUAAUAUAUAUGUCUUCUUUUGACCUCUUCUCUCUUGAUAUCAUACAUAACCUUUUCCAUCGGACAACAGGGGCAUUUUGAAGAAAUAUCCAGACGUGUAAAAUGCUAUUUUAUGAGAAAUGGUAUACAUGCUGUGUAAAGGACCUAGUAUACUAUAUACAGUGUUUAACAUUUGUGAAAUUGUACUGAAUGCCAAAGCAACUUCAUGUUCCAGGCCUUUGACUCUUGGAUGUGUAUUUUUGUUACUGAUUUAGAAUCUGGUUUAGAGAGAAAUCUGUAAAUCUGAAAGUGCAUGUUUGUUAUUUAAGUUGGUAGAGGAAAAAAUUAGUUUUCAAUUACUGAGUGGCAGUCCAUGUUUCCCCUCUUAGUCCAGGAGAGUUACAUUAUUUUUGUAAUAGCUUACAUUGUUGUAUUAUUAUGGAAGCAAUCUUUUUUGAGGAGAGAGCUGUAUCUGGUCUGAUGUCGAAGCAUAAAUAUUUGAAGGUCAAUUUGGCAACAUUUGUGGCUUUAAAUAGUACCUUUGCAAGAAUCCCAAUUUCUUUUGUUUUUUUCAAAACCAGAACUCUAUAUCACAUAGAAACUGAAGGUGAUUUUAGAGGGCUGCUCUUGUGCUUGUCUUCUGACAUUAAUUUCCCAGUUGUUUCCCAUCCCCUCUCAAAAGAAACAGCAAGAGGAUGAUUUGAUUGUUAUUGUGGAGUGUUGAGAGAGAUCAUCAAAGUUGUUGCAUGGACAAUUUAAGUAAAAUCCCACUAUAACCUCUUACAUAGCCUUCACUGUUGUAUCCAGUGUAUCCAUGUUAGAUAAUACACAGUCCUGAUCCGUUCAUUUCCUCACCUAUUGUAACCUAUUCUCAUUUAUUUUAGCAUUGAGCAUUAAGUAACAUAUAACUAAAUAGUUACUUAUGAAUACAAAUUUGCCAUUUUCCUUUCCGCUGCUGCUUCACUAUCUUGCUUUAGAGUCAAACACCACAUAGUGUACAUAUGAUGUGGCAUAGACUCUAUAAAUGCCAGAGAGCACUAAUUAAAUCAAAAUAUAAAAAAGAAAGGCACCCAACCAUAUUUCCUGACUCUGCCAUAAAAAUUUAGGUCAUGUUACAUAGAUACAACAUUGCUUUCACAGAUACCACUAAAUGAUGUUAUGAUCUUCUAAUAUAUUUUAAAAAUUAGUUGUUUAGUCCAGAAAGUGUUUCUGUACAUCUAAAUCUAUGUAAAAAAAAAAUCAGCUAAGCAUUUAAGCGUUACUAUUAGCAGGAUGUAAAAAAAGAUCACCAACUUCAAAAAUACGACUUAAAUUAAUUCUUCCCCAAAAGUAGUGAAAUCCCUCAAAACUCUAUAAACCUGAAAUGUUUGGGAAAAAAUCAGUUAGCCAAGGAAGAAAUGUAAUCCUAGCUUCCCCUCCAUUGUUUAAAGGGAUAUUGCAUAGAGGUUAAAGAAUUUUGUGGACCGUAAUGACAAUCUGCUGCUAUUGUUCUUCUGAUGUGAUACUUUUUGCCAAAUGUCUCAUUACUAAGAGAGGACAUGGUUUAUUUCAUUCUGUCAAACCAAUUCUGUAAACUGCAGUUGAACAUCACGUUUCCCCUUGGAAUGGAAUCAGACUCUUGUUGGUUUGGAACAUGAAAAUUAUUAACAAAACAUAAACACAAGCCCAUUCUGUGAAUCUUGUCUGGUAUCUUGUAACAUAUCGGAAAAAUGUAUUUUAAAAAUAUUUGUAACUCAGAAUAAACAAGAAUUUAGAGCAAAAUAUGCUCUUUACUAUAAA
Molecule: long non-coding RNA, 2842 nt
Organism: Chelonia mydas (Green sea turtle)
Lineage: Eukaryota; Metazoa; Chordata; Testudines; Cheloniidae
Exons: 2
Source: RefSeq, a predicted model, not a curated record